This 1949-nucleotide small RNA is filed under the name Caenorhabditis elegans. Its description in RNAcentral is "Unclassified non-coding RNA Y87G2A.29". Lineage: Eukaryota; Metazoa; Nematoda; Chromadorea; Rhabditida; Rhabditidae. The record is from RNAcentral.
GGUUUCCGACAUUCAAUGGAACAAUUGGACAUGCAUCAACCCCCAGUGCUUCGGUGAAAUCCGUACAACUCCAGAUUUUCGUGAUAUUCGUGAAGUACACGGACACACGGCAAAUUGUCCACCGCCCGACGAAAUUCAAAUCGCCGUUCGCAUCGCCGUCUACGACACCCGUCUUCUCGCCGAAUUCACCGAUACUCCGUUGGAAAAUCUGUAUUUCGGUGCAGUUGAGAGGCUUAAAAUCGAUUGCGCCGAUGGUUUUGUGCUAUUCCCACCGUUUGAGGUCGUGAAAUCCACGUUGGAAGAUCAUCGGCACAAUAAGAUUUAUCGAAAGCGAUUUGAGAUGCAAAAUUUACGCGAUAAACAGCGGAAAAUGAAUAUGACACCGGAUGAGGUGGUUUUUGCUGAGAAUACGUCUGGAAUGAUUCGGUUUCGAAGGACUAAACCGUUUCCGAUGGUACUGUGAACAGAAAAACGGAGAAAAAUAGUGCAGAAAACCCUUUAAAACCCGCAAAAAAAAUUGGUGAGGCUCAGAGAAUCUUGUAGUUUGUAGUCUCUGGGCCUCAACCAAUAUUUAUUAUAGCGAUUUUUUUUCGGUUUUCGAAUAGAUUUUGGUUUUUUUUCACUUUUUUCCUAUAAAAUUCGAAAAAUAUAGAUAAAUUUUGCUUGUUUUGCACAAAAAAGUGUUUUUUUGCGCAAAAAACCCCAUGAAGCACACGAAAAAAUUUGGUGAGGCUCAGAGAAUUGUGUAGUUUGUAGUCUCUGAGCCUCAACCAAUUUUCUUUAUUUUUUUCUUGGAAAAAAGGUGAAAAAUAACAGUUUUCUCAGCAAUUUUUUUGCUAUUUAUCACAAUUUCUGCAUUUGCAUCAGAAAAUCGAAUGGUUGAGGCUCAGACUACAAACUACACUUUUUCAUAGCCUCAACCACCACAAAAAAUUCAAUUUUUCGGAGUUAACUUUGCUAAAAUUACGCCAUUUUCACCUAAAAAUUGGAAAAAAAAUUCAUGUUAUUGGCUACAAACUACAAUAACCUUUUGGUGAGGCUCUCAAAUUUUGUAGUUUGUAGUGUCUGAGCCUCAACCAAAUUUAAUUUUUUGAUUGAAAUGGUUGAGGCUAAGCGCAUAUUGUAGUUUGUAGUGUAUUUUCACGAAUACGGACUCAUUUUUCUCAGGUUUUCUUGAAAAAAAAAAUUUUUUAAGCUAAAAAACGGGACAAAAAUUAGGUUUUAUUUAGAAUAUGGUUGAGGUUAUCAAAUGUUGUAGUUUGUAGUCUGAUAGCCUCACCCAAUUAAUCUGGUUUUCUCAGAAUUUUCUCGAAAAUCGCUCGAAAACGGUGAAAUCCGGUAUUUUUUUAAAAUAAAAAAUCACAGUGUUUCAUAGAUUUACAAAAUAUGGUUGAGGCUCUUCGAUUUUGUAGUUUGUAGUGGGUGAGCCUCAACCAAAAAUUACCGAAUUUUCACGAAAACUGGCGCAAUUUUCUCGGAUAUUCAUGAUUUUUAACCCAAAUUGUCACUAAAACAUAGUUUUUCGUCGAAAAAGAGACUACAAACUACACAUUUUUCAAGCUAUAUAAACAAUUAAAAAUUUGAAAUAUGGUUGAGGCCAUCAUAGUUUGUAGUUUGUAGUAUGAGCCUCAACAAAAAAAACAGUUUUAAAAAAAUGUUAAAUAGCACUUUUAAAACAUGAAAUUUUCAAUUAAAACAGCGGAAAAUUCGAAUUUUUUGGAUUUUUUUCCAAUAUUAAUCCGUUAAAAAAAAACUAAAAAGCACACUACAAACUACACCAGCUUCACCCAAAAAAUCCGUUUUUUCAGUCAAUCUGCAACGUUUGUGGAGAGGAAAUUUCGAGCACAAAUCUUCCGUCACAAGAUCAACUGAUUUCUCAUUAUAUGUAUACACAUGGACGAAGAAUGACUAUUGAGAGAUAUGAAUUCAAGGAUGUUAACACUUUUGAG